Long non-coding RNA from Lates calcarifer (barramundi perch), 518 nucleotides. RefSeq lists it as uncharacterized. Lineage: Eukaryota; Metazoa; Chordata; Actinopteri; Centropomidae. The record is from RefSeq and is a predicted model, not a curated record. The transcript is spliced from 3 exons.
UGAUGAGGGCCAGAGUCUGACACGGAGACCACUGACGGGCUUAAAACAUCUGACGUGAGCGCAGGAAGAUGGGACACAGGACCGGGCUUUGGUCCCCAUGACAACUACUGGUCCCAGCAAGGUCAGUGUUUAUGCCAGAAGGGUCCCAAAGAGGCAGAUAUUUUGAGGAGCUUACACAAAGUGCUUGGUGAACACAGCCAUCUCACUGUGGUCUGGUCCUGUGCUGCAGGCUCUCUGAGCAGGAGAGUGGUUAUGUAUCUGUCAAUAUCAACAGUGCUGAACUGGUUUAAUGGACUGUGUACAUCAUCAGGACAGACUGGACAACCACAUAAUCAGAGGCAACAGUUUCCUUUAAGUUACACAGAGCACCAGUGUAACAGGUAAACUGAAGGGAGGUUGUGUCACAGACUUUCUUCUUCUGGCUUGUUUAAGGUCAUAAUGACCUUUUAGUGUGUUUUUUGAGUAUGUUAUGUACGGUUGAGAGAGAAAGUCAGAGUCAGAGCUGAAUAUUAAAUCAU